Long non-coding RNA from Metopolophium dirhodum (rose-grain aphid), 1040 nucleotides. RefSeq lists it as uncharacterized. The record is from RefSeq and is a predicted model, not a curated record. The transcript has 2 exons. NCBI's taxonomy places the organism in Eukaryota, Metazoa, Arthropoda, Insecta, Hemiptera, Aphididae.
GCGUCACGGAGUAACUGAAUGAUAGCAUUGAGUAUAGAAAUUAUUAUUAUUAAUAAUAAUAAUUUGUACAUUGUGUUCUAUUUUAUCAAUUUCAUCCAUGCCCACGUCCAUAGACACGUAAAUGUAUAUUAUGUCCAUGGUCACACGUCCCGCCGUCCAGGCUGUUAUGAACAAGACUCGCUUCUCGUAAGUCGCCUCUGCAACGGUUGGCACUACCGUAGCGUCAUCGCACGGCGUCCGUGUCGGCGGCGGCGGCUGCCGAGCACGGCGGCGGACGCUGUCCAGGCUGUUAUGAACAAGACUCGCUUCUCGUCGGUCACCUCUGCAACGGUUGGCACUACCGUAGCGUCAUCGCACAGCGUCCGUGUCGGCGGCGGUGGCGGCGGCUGCAGAGCACGGCGGCGGACGCCGUCCAGGCUGUUAUGAACAAGACUCGCUUCUCGUCGGUCACCUCUGCAACGGUUGGCACUACCGUAGCGUCAUCGCACGGCGUCCGUGUCGGCGGCGGCGGCGGCUGCAGAGCACGGCGGCGGACGCCGUCCAUUGACGCAUUUCCAUUUUCGAGGCGUUUGCGCUCGGCCGACGGGCGCUCUCCGCUCUUGCAAUAUUUUUUUUUGCACGUGGUCGGCCGCUUUCCGCUUCGCUCCUGCCGUUUUUUUUCAACUCCGUCGUUUGGUCCGGACCAAGGUUAGUUGUGUCACGACUGCCUUGGUCUGGAACGUGGAUUUGCGAACAUUUUGGAGAAGCACGCGGCUGAAAGUCAUGAUCAUUGGUCCUAUGCAUCAAUAUGGGCGGAAGAAAAAUAAGAUGACGGCCAUACUAGCAGUAACACUCAAAUCUCAAAAUUCAAAACUCAAAAAUAAUUCAUUGUUUUCACCUUCUACUGUGGUCAUGGUAAUAUAAUCCUAAACAAAUCCAUUUUCGUGUGCGUACUUCAGAAAUAUAAUUACUCCGAUCCUGUAACAUCCGUACUCCGAGAUCAACCGUUUUUAUAUACGUAUUCCAUGCAGUCUAAAUGUUCAAUUGCCAUAGCCUUGGCA